UGAUAGGAACCCAUGAAGAACUAUGAAAGGUC
RNAcentral lists this non-coding RNA (32 nucleotides) under Mus musculus (house mouse). Lineage: Eukaryota; Metazoa; Chordata; Mammalia; Rodentia; Muridae. The record is from RNAcentral.